CACGUAGGGGCCAAGCGUUGUCCGGAAUUAUUGGGCGUAAAGAGCUCGUAGGCGGUUCGUCGCGUCGGCUGUGAAAUCCCGAGGCUCAACCUCGGGUCUGCAGUCGAUACGGGCGGACUGGAGUACUGCAGGGGAGACUGGAAUUCCUGGUGUAGCGGUGAAAUGCGUAGAUAUCAGUCGGAACACCGGUGGCGAAGGCGGCUUCUUGGGCCGUUCCUGACGCUGAGGCGCGAAAGCUGGGGGAGCGAACGGG
This 253-nucleotide ribosomal RNA is filed under the name uncultured bacterium. Its description in RNAcentral is "partial 16S ribosomal RNA". It matches the Rfam family "Bacterial small subunit ribosomal RNA", at positions 524 to 776 of the family's 1533-position model. The record is from RNAcentral.